This 385-nucleotide ribosomal RNA is filed under the name uncultured bacterium. RNAcentral's name for it is "bacterial SSU rRNA". It matches the Rfam family "Bacterial small subunit ribosomal RNA", at positions 30 to 417 of the family's 1533-position model. The record is from RNAcentral.
AUUGAACGCUGGCGGCAUGCCUUACACAUGCAAGUCGAACGGCAGCGCGGGGCAACCUGGCGGCGAGUGGCGAACGGGUGAGUAAUAUAUCGGAACAUACCCUAGAGUGGGGGAUAACGUAGCGAAAGUUACGCUAAUACCGCAUACGCACUAAGGUGGAAAGUGGGGGAUCUUCGGACCUCAUGCUCAUGGAGUGGCCGAUAUCUGAUUAGCUAGUUGGUGAGGUAAAGGCUCACCAAGGCGACGAUCAGUAGCUGGUUUGAGAGAACGACCAGCCACACUGGAACUGAGACACGGUCCAGACUCCUACGGGAGGCAGCAGUGGGGAAUUUUGGACAAUGGGGGCAACCCUGAUCCAGCAAUGCCGCGUGAGUGAAGAAGGCCU